This 578-nucleotide ribosomal RNA is filed under the name uncultured Nitrospira sp. RNAcentral's name for it is "bacterial SSU rRNA". It matches the Rfam family "Bacterial small subunit ribosomal RNA", at positions 335 to 916 of the family's 1533-position model. The record is from RNAcentral. Lineage: Bacteria; Pseudomonadati; Nitrospirota; Nitrospiria; Nitrospirales; Nitrospiraceae.
ACUCCUACGGGAGGCAGCAGUAAGGAAUAUUGCGCAAUGGGCGAAAGCCUGACGCAGCGACSCCGCGUGGGGGAUGAAGGUCUUCGGAUUGKAAACCCCUUUCGGGAGGGAAGAUGGAACGGGGUAACCCAUUCGGACGGUACCUCCAGAAGCAGCCACGGCUAACUUCGUGCCAGCAGCCGCGGUAAUACSAAGGUGGCAAGCGUUGUUCGGAUUUACUGGGCGUACAGGGAGCGUAGGCGGUUCGGUAAGCCCUCUGUGAAAUCUCCAGGCUUAACCUGGAACAGUCGGAGGGGACUGCUGGGCUAGAGGACGGGAGAGGAGCGCGGAAUUCCCGGUGUAGCGGUGAAAUGCGUAGAGAUCGGGAGGAAGGCCGGUGGCGAAGGCGGCGCUCUGGAACGUUUCUGACGCUGAGGCUCGAAAGCGUGGGGAGCAAACAGGAUUAGAUACCCUGGUAGUCCACGCCUUAAACUAUGAAUACUAAGUGUCGGCGGUUUACCGCCGGUGCCGCAGCUAACGCAUUAAGUAUUCCGCCUGGGAAGUACGGCCGCAAGGUUGAAACUCAAAUGAAUUGACGG